This 253-nucleotide ribosomal RNA is filed under the name uncultured bacterium. RNAcentral describes it as "partial 16S ribosomal RNA". It matches the Rfam family "Bacterial small subunit ribosomal RNA", at positions 524 to 776 of the family's 1533-position model. The record is from RNAcentral.
UACGGGGGGGGCGAGCGUUGUUCGGAAUUACUGGGCGUAAAGGGUUCGUAGGCGGCUCGCUAAGUCAGACGUGAAAUCCCUCAGCUCAACUGGGGAAUGGCGUCUGAGACUGGCAAGCUUGAGUGCAGGAGAGGAACGCGGAAUUCCAGGUGUAGCGGUGAAAUGCGUAGAUAUCUGGAGGAACACCGGUGGCGAAGGCGGCGUUCUGGACUGCAACUGACACCGAUGAACGAAAGCCAGGGGAGCAAACGGG